RNAcentral lists this ribosomal RNA (440 nucleotides) under uncultured bacterium. RNAcentral describes it as "partial 16S ribosomal RNA". It matches the Rfam family "Bacterial small subunit ribosomal RNA", at positions 338 to 795 of the family's 1533-position model. The record is from RNAcentral.
CCUACGGGGGGCAGCAGUGGGGGAUAUUGCACAAUGGGGGAAACCCUGAUGCAGCGACGCCGCGUGGGUGAAGAAGCGCCUCGGCGCGUAAAGCCCUGUCAGCAGGGAAGAAAAUGACGGUACCUGAAGAAGAAGCCUCGGCUAACUACGGGCCAGCCGCCGCGGUUAUACGUAGGGGGCAGGCGUUAUCCGGAUUUACUGGGGGUAAAGGGGGCGCAGACGGGGAUGCAAGCCAGGGGUGAAAGCCCGGGGCCGAACCCCGGGACUGCGGUUGGAACUGGGUGGCUAGAGUGCAGGAGGGGAAGGCGGAAUUCCUGGUGUAGCGGUGAAAGGCGUAGAUAUCAGGAGGAACACCGGUGGCGAAGGCGGCCUGCUGGACUGCAACUGACGUUGAGGCCCGAAAGCGUGGGGAGCAAACAGGAUUAGAUACCCGAGUAGUC